This is a long non-coding RNA of Malaclemys terrapin pileata, 1200 nucleotides long. RefSeq lists it as uncharacterized. The record is from RefSeq and is a predicted model, not a curated record. The transcript is spliced from 2 exons. Lineage: Eukaryota; Metazoa; Chordata; Testudines; Emydidae.
CCUACGUCGCAGGUCUAGGCUUCCGCUUCCGGGAAGUAACCGGAAACCCCAUCCCACAGAGAGCGGGACUAGAGCGGCUGCGCAACAACAGCACCAUAGAGCGGAGGCGGUUACGGGCUAGAGCGAUUCGUGCAGCCGGCAUAAAACCAUAGACGAGUUAGACUGAGACUAGAGCGGCGAUACCGCAGCGGGGCUAGAGCGACUCCUGCGGGCAGAGUUACCAUAGAGAGGAGACUCGUUCGCUAGAGCGACAGCUGCGGGUGGCAAAUACCAUCGCUCAGAGGCGCCGGAUGUGGCCUUCAGAGGCAUCCCCUACACACUGGCAGAGCACCUCCACCAGAUAAGAAAGCAUCCAAGAUGGAGCAAGGAAGAUAUGUUCCAGGAGAUGCUGCAAUAAUCAGAUGCAGAAAAGAGGGAACGCAGGCAGUGAAGGGAAAUGGAAAGGCUGGACAGAAAAGAAAAUGAGGCUUUCAUUAGGGAUGCAAUGGAGAGGAUGAUUAAAGUUAUGGAGAAGCAAACUGAGAUGCUUCGGUCCCUCAUAAUACUCCAGACUGAGCAGAUGGGUGCCUGCCCUUCCCUUCAGCACAUUCAGAACUCUUUCCUAUGCCCUCCCCAAACUCCACCCGCAAAUUCCUUUCCACAGUCUGGGACUUCUCGUUUUCCUGUUCACUCCAUCCCCACGGACACCUUUUCAAAUGAUAGCUGGACUCAGGGCCGGCUUUAGGAAGUGUGGGGCCCGAUUCGAACAGUUUCGACGGGGCCCCGACAGGGAUGACUUGACAAAAAAAACAAAAACAAAAACACAUAAAAAAACCACGUGGGGCUUGUACUCACCCGGCCGUGUUUCUAGUCUUUAGCGGCGGGUCCUUCACUCACUCCGGGUCUUCGGCGGCACUGAAGGACCCGCCGCCAAAGACCUGGAGCGCCUCCAGGUGAGUAAAAAUUAAAAAGGUGCCUCUAGCCAGGGAAGGGAUUCUCUGCCACUUGCCCCCCAAUCUGGGCAGCCCUGCCACUGGACGCGGGGCCCUCUUAGGCGCGGGGCCCGAUUCGGGGGAAUUGGUGGAAUUGGCCUAAAGCCGGCCCUGGCUGGACUAACACACAACUCUGAAAGUCAGCCCUCCCCGGUACCUCUUCCCCCUCCCCAAAGCGUGUGUGUGUGCUGGUGUAGUUUUUUGUGCAAUAAAAGCAAAAUUUUUUGAA